GAGUUUGAUCCUGGCUCAGGACGAACGCUGGCGGCGUGCUUAACACAUGCAAGUCAAGGGGUAGCAAUACCACUGGCGCACGGGUGAGUAACGCGUAGAUUAUCUGCCCCUAUCUCCGGAAUAACAUCAAGAAAUUGGUGCUAAAAACGGAUGAGGCACAAUGUGUCAAAGGUAACGGAUAGGGACGAGUCUGCGUCUGAUUAGCUAGUUGGUGAGGUAACGGCUCACCAAGGCGACGAUCAGUAGCUGGUCUGAGAGGACGAUCAGCCACACUGGAACUGAGACACGGUCCAGACUCCUACGGGAGGCAGCAGUGAGGAAUUUUUGCACAAUGGGGGAAACUCUGAUGCAGCGACGCCGCGUGCGGGAUGAAGGGGCUUUGCCUUGUAAACCGCUGUCGGGUGGGAAAAAAGUUCCCUCGGGGGACUGGGAUUGUACCACCAAAGGAAGGACCGGCUAACUACGUGCCAGCAGCCGCAGUAAG
RNAcentral lists this ribosomal RNA (484 nucleotides) under uncultured Clostridia bacterium. Its description in RNAcentral is "bacterial SSU rRNA". It matches the Rfam family "Bacterial small subunit ribosomal RNA", at positions 9 to 524 of the family's 1533-position model. The record is from RNAcentral. Lineage: Bacteria; Bacillati; Bacillota; Clostridia.